This 255-nucleotide unclassified non-coding RNA is filed under the name uncultured fungus. RNAcentral describes it as "sequence contains ITS1, 5.8S rRNA gene". The stretch from base 207 to 255 matches the Rfam family "5.8S ribosomal RNA", at positions 1 to 49 of the family's 154-position model. Lineage: Eukaryota; Fungi. The record is from RNAcentral.
UCUCCGUAGGUGAACCUGCGGAGGGAUCAUUACCGAGUGAGGGUCCUUGUGGCCCGACCUCCAACCCCCUGUCUUCCGACUCUGUUGCCUCGGGGGGCCGCCCGGGAGUGUCGCGUUCUGCGCGCUCGCCCGGGAGCCACGGCGCCCCGGUGGCCCAAAAAACUCUUGUUUUGUAUGGGCUAUCAGAAAUACUAUCUAAUAGUUAAAACUUUCAGCAACGGAUCUCUUGGUUCUGGCAUCGAUGAAGAACGCAGC